GACGAACGCUGGCGGCGUGCCUAGUACAUGCAAGUAGAACGCUGAAGGAGGAGCUUGCUUCUCUGGAUGAGUUGCGAACGGGUGAGUAACGCGUAGGUAACCUGCCUGGUAGCGGGGGAUAACUAUUGGAAACGAUAGCUAAUACCGCAUAAUAGUAGAUGUUGCAUGACAUUUGCUUAAAAGGUGCAAUUGCAUCACUACCAGAUGGACCUGCGUUGUAUUAGCUAGUUGGUGAGGUAACGGCUCACCAAGGCAACGAUACAUAGCCGACCUGAGAGGGUGAUCGGCCACACUGGGACUGAGACACGGCCCAGACUCCUACGGGAGGCAGCAGUAGGGAAUCUUCGGCAAUGGACGGAAGUCUGACCGAGCAACGCCGCGUGAGUGAAGAAGGUUUUCGGAUCGUAAAGCUCUGUUGUAAGAGAAGAACGAGUGUGAGAGUGGAAAGUUCACACUGUGACGGUAGCUUACCAGAAAGGGACGGCUAACUACGUG
This 495-nucleotide ribosomal RNA is filed under the name uncultured bacterium. Its description in RNAcentral is "partial 16S ribosomal RNA". It matches the Rfam family "Bacterial small subunit ribosomal RNA", at positions 28 to 507 of the family's 1533-position model. The record is from RNAcentral.